AAAUAUUACUUAUAUAAAGCACAUCAGGAUGCCAUGGAGGGAAAGAGCCAUAUACAGACCAUUUACUCUGCUCAAAGUGGAUUUAGGACUCAACAGUGUGCUGAGAAAGUUAAAAUGCCUAUUAGCCAGUGCCAGCUGCACCAGAGGCUGUUUUCAGAUGUGUUUAAUGGGCAGGGAUCCAGCAUUACUGUCAUAUCUACUUCCAUCCUUUGCCUGUCCCUGUCCCUGAAGUAUGUAGUGGUAUUUCCAUAUUGUAUAAAGCCUAUUUAGUAGUGAAGAUCCUUUCUUGAGCAAUUUUAUAGCUUCAAGACUCAGGCAAAGUAAAAAAAGAAACACCAGAACCCUCUUCCAAAAAAAAAAAAAAAAAAAAAAGAAGAUCGUUUUCCCCACAUAAAGAAAAGUAAGUCUAUCAAUUUAAAACAUCCAGACUCCUGCUGGUCUCCUUUUAUUUUUUUUUUUUUCCCUAGUUUUUAAUUACUUUUCUCUUAACAGCUCCUCAUGACAAGAUAUCUCUCUUCCCAGCCCAGAGGGAAUGACUGAAGCUUCUGUUUGACUAUCCCAGUGUUUUUCUGACAGCUGUACUGCUAGCUUUGCCUUCUUAUCUUUUUUUGUUGCUGUUUUUCCUUAGCUCUUGGGAUUGGCUAAUAGAAGAUCUCUGUUGUGAAGCACAUCUACAACGUGGCAGGGUCAUUUUUUCCCUCUGGCAAAGGAGUUUUUGUUUGCAACAGGUGAAGAUGAGUUGGUGCAAACAGCAAGCUGUGUGUAGUAGUAACUCCACCAACUUUGAGGGUCUUUAUCAGAGUACCUAACUCAGUGACACAUACAAAAGAGGACAUGAAGCUGGUCUCUGGAAAGGAAGUACAGAAGACUUCUGAGCUUGUGCCAGACCCCAGUGAAGUCCAAGUGAGUGCCCAAGUGUCCCAUCAUUGUCCUUUCCUGUUAGUACAUGGAGCACAAUGGGACAGCAGUCCUACUAAGAGCCUCUAGGGGCUACUGCAGUUCAAUAAAUUACAAUAAAUAAAAUGAAAACCCAGUUUUGAGUCUGAUAUGGGCUGUGUUAAUCUCUGGUGUGCUAUCUGGGACUUCAGAAGAGUUACAUGCAAUGGAAUACCGCCCACUGAGCCUUUGCUGACUGCUCUCACAUUGCCACGAAGGAUAAAGGAUCGCAACAGACAUCAGCUUUCCCGACUCCUGCAAUGAACCUCCAGUACAUAUUAGCAGCAGGCUUUUAAGCAGUUUUUAUAUCCAGUGACGCUGGACAGCAUGAUCAUGGAGUGGUUGGCUCUACACCACGGAGAAGUGAUCUCCUUGGCAGGAGAUGUGUGGUGCAGCCCCUUCACCUACAGUGGUAAUGAGUUACUGCCAUCAGCUGCCACACCUUAUCUGCUCUUCAGGCAAACUCCCUUAAAGCCAUUUAUAAAGGUCUCCUUGGCUGGGAAGGGGAAAGAUGAGUCCGUGCAGGAUUUUCCUCUUGUCUGCAAUCAAAAAUUGGUUUUAUCCUUCUGCAA
Long non-coding RNA from Corvus hawaiiensis (hawaiian crow), 1508 nucleotides. RefSeq lists it as uncharacterized. The record is from RefSeq and is a predicted model, not a curated record. The transcript is spliced from 3 exons. Lineage: Eukaryota; Metazoa; Chordata; Aves; Passeriformes; Corvidae.